RNAcentral lists this long non-coding RNA (399 nucleotides) under Lactuca sativa (garden lettuce). Its description in RNAcentral is "long non-coding RNA (LSAT_LNC001680)". The record is from RNAcentral. Lineage: Eukaryota; Viridiplantae; Streptophyta; Magnoliopsida; Asterales; Asteraceae.
CUUGUUCAUCCGAAAGUGGUAGGUAGUAGAUACGAGGGGUGGCUCUUGUCUUCCUAAACAGAUCAUCCAAUGUAACAAUUGGAGGAUCAACUGGUGGUGGAGGAAGGGCGGCAACCUCCCUUACUGGUGGCGGAGGUGGUGGAGGAAGCUGCUGUGGUUGUUUCUGAACAUGUAGUCGAGGGGAGGGAUAUUGCGGCUGCAUGGCGGCUAGAGCUGGUGGAGGAGGAAGCUGCUGCUGCUGUUGUUUCUGAACGUGUAGUCGAGGAGAGGGCUGCGGUGGUUGCAUGGUGGUGGCUGGAGGUGGUGGUGGUGGUGGGUCGACCCGAUUCUUAACCUCUUGUGGAUCCACAAAAUCAGCCAUUAACAGGCGUCCACCAUUCACUGGCCACUGUAGGUUGC